GAUGAACGCUGGCGGCGUGCCUAAUACAUGCAAGUCGAGCGAACAGACGAGGAGCUUGCUCCUCUGACGUUAGCGGCGGACGGGUGAGUAACACGUGGAUAACCUACCUAUAAGACUGGGAUAACUUCGGGAAACCGGAGCUAAUACCGGAUAACAUGUUGAACCGCAUGGUUCAACAGUGAAAGACGGUCUUGCUGUCACUUAUAGAUGGAUCCGCGCCGCAUUAGCUAGUUGGUAAGGUAACGGCUUACCAAGGCAACGAUGCGUAGCCGACCUGAGAGGGUGAUCGGCCACACUGGAACUGAGACACGGUCCAGACUCCUACGGGAGGCAGCAGUAGGGAAUCUUCCGCAAUGGGCGAAAGCCUGACGGAGCAACGCCGCGUGAGUGAAGAAGGUCUUCGGAUCGUAAAACUCUGUUAUCAGGGAAGAACAAAUGUGUAAGUAACUAUGCACGUCCUGACGGUACCUAAUCAGAAAGCCACGGCUAACUACGUG
Molecule: ribosomal RNA, 497 nt
Filed under: uncultured bacterium
Lineage: Bacteria
Description: partial 16S ribosomal RNA
Rfam family: Bacterial small subunit ribosomal RNA
Source: RNAcentral